AGCGAACGCUGGCGGCAGGCCUAACACAUGCAAGUCGAACGAACCUUUCGGGGUUAGUGGCGGACGGGUGAGUAACACGUGGGAACGUGCCUUUAGGUUCGGAAUAACUCAGGGAAACUUGUGCUAAUACCGAAUGUGCCCUUCGGGGGAAAGAUUUAUCGCCUUUAGAGCGGCCCGCGUCUGAUUAGCUAGUUGGUUGAGGUAAUGGCUCACCAAGGCGACGAUCAGUAGCUGGUCUGAGAGGAUGAUCAGCCACAUUGGGACUGAGACACGGCCCAAACUCCUACGGGAGGCAGCAGUGGGGAAUCUUGCGCAAUGGGCGAAAGCCUGACGCAGCCAUGCCGCGUGAAUGAUGAAGGUCUUAGGAUUGUAAAAUUCUUUCACCGGGGACGAUAAUGACGGGACCCGGAGAAGAAGCCCCGGCGAACUUCGG
This 433-nucleotide ribosomal RNA is filed under the name uncultured bacterium. RNAcentral describes it as "partial 16S ribosomal RNA". It matches the Rfam family "Bacterial small subunit ribosomal RNA", at positions 29 to 506 of the family's 1533-position model. The record is from RNAcentral.